AACUGCCGAGCCGAGAAGUUUGUGACGAAUCGAAUUUACUGUAAGUUCGCUCAUCUCUAUCUCGAAUAGCUAAGACAAAUAUUGCAAAACUACAACUCCCAGCAUGCUUGGAUAGCUGAUCCAGAUGUUGAAAAACUACAACUCCCAGCAUGCUCUUGAAUAACUAAGACAAAUAUUGCAAAACUACAACCCCCAGCAUGCUCUCGAAUAGCUGAUUCAAAUAUUGCAAAACUACAACCCCCAGCAUGCUCUCGAAUAGCUGAUUCAAAUAUUGCAAAACUACAACUCCCAGCAUGCUCUCGGAUAGCUGAUCUAGAUGUUGCAAAACUACAACUCCCAGCAUGCUCUCGGAUAGCUAAUCUAGAUGUUACAAAACUACAACUCCCAGCAUACAGGGACAGCCGUUGGCCAUUCGAACAUGUUAGGAGUUGUAGUUUUAUAGAGGUGCCCAGGUGGGAGAUCACUGUUACAGGAAACUAAUCGGGGGAAGAGAAACAAUGUAACACAAUCUGACGGGUCAGAUGCAAGUGACAAACUGCGCCUCCCAUGUGACCGCGGCCUUAGAGGAGGCGACAUUUCCAGCAUUCUUAGGGUUCCUGACCUCGUACUUCAUGCACAAUGUUCCUUCUCCGGCCGCCAUGAUUAGAUCCUGAUUAUAACCGGGAUCCGAGCGCCGGAUGUCUGGGGGGACAGCGGUGACUGUAGAUAUAAGCACAUGUGAAGUAUGGUACUGCGCUGCCCCCUAAUGGUGGACUAAGCUCACAGCACACGUCUUGUCCUUGAUUAAAAAAAAUAAUAAUAAUAAUAAUAAUAAUUGGUUUCUAUCAAAAUCGGCGCCACCCUUGUUCUCAGGUCACAUCUGGUAUUGCAGCUCUGUACUUUUUCGGUGUAAUACCAGACACAGCCCAUGGGGGGAGCAGCCUGGCCUAGAAGAAACUUAUAGGUUAAAUCAGUGUUACCCCGUAGUAAAGCUAUAACGCCCGACACUUGUUGGUUCUCCAGCUGUUGCAGAACUGUAACUCCCAGCAUGCCCUGCUAGUUUUUAGCUGUCAUAGAAAUGCAGGGAUUUAACCCAACUCCUGCCAAUAGAUGAACAGUGCAGAUCCCACAGUCCAGACCAGUGUUUCCCAACCAGGGUGCCUCCAGCUGUUGCAAAACUACAACUCCCAGCAUGCCCGGACAGCCAUUGGCUGUCCGGGCAUGGUGGGAGUUGUAGUUUUGCAACAGCUGGAGGCACCCUGGUUGGGAAACACUAGGGUGGCUUCUUGCAAAAGGUCUAGACUAGUGUUUCCCAACCAGGCAGCCUCCAGCUGUUGCAAAACUACAACUCCUAGCAUGCUGUUUGGGAAACACUGGUCUGGACUGUGGGGUCUGCAAUGUUUAACAGCAGUUGUGAUCACCACAGCGCCCCCACCUGCUUAAUAUGUCACAUUGCAAUGUAUUUACAGUACAAUAAGUAGAACAGCGCUCCCCAGGGACGGCAGCUGCGAUGUCUCUUUACGUGGACGGUCAGACUAUGGGAGAAACAACGCCCAGUACAGAGGUUGUAGCUGAGCUCUCCCCGCGCUGCGCUCUGCUGCUCCGAGCAGUGAACUAUUCUAUGAUCUGCAGAAAUAUCAUUUAUAGGACGUUCAGCUCCGGAGCUGCUGGUGCGAUCAUCUGCAGAGGACGCCCAGGUCUGCGCUUUCCUUAAAGGAACUGGUCAAUAAUAUGCAGCAAUUAGUGUAGCAGAGCCGAGUGUUACUACAAAGAGGAGCGGAUUAUAGAGAGCAAGAAAAGUGUUAUCCUGGGGGAUGGGAUGACUGAUCCUACUGAUCCCCGAGACCGAUCACUGCACAAGGGUUAACUUUAUUUUCUUCUUAAUGUCACUGCUGAUCCUCAUAUUAUAUAUAGAAUGAAUCUCCAUAAACACCUGAGUCAUUGUACAAUUAUUACUGAUCCUGAGUUAUAUCCUGUAUUAUACUCCAGAGCUGCACUCACUAUUCUGCUGGUGAGGUCAAUGUGUACAUACAUUACAUUACUUAUCCUGUACUGAUCCUGAGUUAUAUCCUGUAUUAUACUCCAGAGCUGUACUCACUAUUCUGCUGGUGAGGUCACUGUGUACAUACAUUACAUUACUUAUCCUGUACUGAUCCUGAGUUAUAUCCUGUAUUAUACUCCAGAGCUGCACUCACUAUUCUGCUGGUGAGGUCACUGUGUACAUACAUUACAUUACUUAGCCUGUACUGAUCCUGAGUUAUAUCCUGUAUUAUACUCCAGAGCUGCACUCACUAUUCUGCUGGUGAGAUCACUGUGUACAUACAUUACUUAUCCUGUACUGAUCCUGAGUUAUAUCCUGUAUUAUACCCCAGAGCUGUACUCACUAUUCUGCUGGUGGGGUCACUGUGUACAUACAUUACAUUACUUAUCCUGUACUGAUCCUGAGUUAUAUCCUGUAUUAUACCCCAGAGCUGUACUCACUAUUCUGCUGGUGAGGUCACUGUGUACAUACAUUACAUGACUUAUCCUGUACUGAUCCUGAGUUAUAUCCUGUAUUAUACUCCAGAGCUGCACUCACUAUUCUGCUGGUGAGAUCACUGUGUACAUACAUUACUUAUCCUGUACUGAUCCUGAGUUAUAUCCUGUAUUAUACCCCAGAGCUGUACUCACUAUUCUGCUGGUGGGGUCACUGUGUACAUACAUUACAUUACUUAUCCUGUACUGAUCCGGAGUUAUAUCGUGUAUUAUAUACCCCAGAGGUGUACUCACUAUUCUGCUGGUGAGGUCACUGUGUACAUACAUUACUUAUCCUGUACUGAUCCUGAGUUAUAUCCUGUAUCAUACUCCAGAGCUGUACUCACUAUUCUGCUGGUGAGAUCACUGUGUACAUACAUUACAUUACUUAUCCUGUACUGAUCCUGAGUUAUAUCGUGUAUUAUAUACCCCAGAGGUGUACUCACUAUUCUGCUGGUGAGGUCACUGUGUACAUACAUUACUUAUCCUGUACUGAUCCUGAGUUAUAUCCUGUAUUAUACUCCAGAGCUGUACUCACUAUUCUGCUGGUGAGGUCACUGUGUACAUACAUUACAUUACUUAUCCUGUACUGAUCCUGAGUUAUAUCGUGUAUUAUACUCCAGAGGUGCACUCACUAUUCUGCUGGUGAGGUCACUGUGUACAUACAUUACAUCACUUAUCCUGUACUGAUCCUGAGUUAUAUCCUGUAUUAUACUCCAGAGCUGUACUCACUAUUCUGCUGGUGAGGUCACUGUGUACAUACAUUACAUUACUUAUCCUGUACUGAUCCUGAGUUAUAUCCUGUAUUAUACCCCAGAGCUGUACUCACUAUUCUGCUGGUGAGGUCACUGUGUAUAUACAUUACAUUACUUAUCCUGUACUGAUCCUGAGUUAUAUCCUGUAUUAUACUCCAGAGCUGUACUCACUAUUCUGCUGGUGAGGUCACUGUGUACAUACAUUACAUUACUUAUCCUGUACUGAUCCUGAGUUAUAUCCUGUAUUAUACUCCAGAGCUGUACUCACUAUUCUGCUGGUGGGAUCACUGUGUACAUACAUUACAUUACUGAUCCUGUACUGAUCCUGAGUUAUAUCCUGUAUUAUACUCCAGAGCUGCACUCACUAUUCUGCUGGUGAGAUCACUGUGUAUAUACAUUACAUUACUUAUCCUGUACUGAUCCUGAGUUGCAUCCUGUAUGUACAUAGUGACCCCACCAGCAGAAUAGUGAGUGCAGCUCAGGAUCUUUACUGUCUGUAGUUAAUGAUUCUGCUGUGUAUGGAGAUUUUUUCUAUAUUUUUGUCAUAGCUCUCAGGGAAAUGUGCAGUUUUGAUCGGUCGGGGUCUCAGUAAAGGAUGGGCGGGGAGGAAAGCGGCAGCAGUGCGUUUUAUUUACUGACACUCAUCGAUCGCUGUCUCACUUCUCCAUUAUAAGUCUACGGGGCAGUCGAUAAGUAAAUUGCGCUGCUGCCGCUUUCCUCCUGAGACCCCGACCGAUCAAAACUUCACAUCUCCCUCUGAGAGGACCAAUGUUUUUUGUCCCGGUCCCCACUGUAAUGAUUUCUCCCUCACGUUUUCCUAUAUUUUGCGCCUUCCCCUAUCUUUGAUUAUUUCGUAGACGCCGAUCACCUUCCUCUUUUCGCUUCCAUCUCUCGCCGGUUUGGGGCAAAAUCUGAUUAAAAUAAUACAAUCCGCUGUGAAGAUAUUUUUGUACAAUAUUUUUUUAUUUGAAUUGUAAAAUUCUUUUACGUUUUCGUUUUUUUUGUUAAACACUAUAAUAAAAGUGAGGACAAUAAACCAUGACCUGUGACAGAACUACAACUCCCAGCAUGCCCUGCAGCUCUCCACUAUAGACUGGUUCAGCUGUGGAACACUUCCGGUAUAAGGUAUCUGGCUGUGCGCUGUGGGCGGAGCUCCUCCACCUGAGACGAUUGUCUGGACACUUGAAUCCUAUUUUUUGGGGGGUUUUUUAGUUUUAUUUUCGCACUUACGUUUUUUUAGUUGUUUUUGCUGUCGAUACAUUUCUAUGCAAUUGUUGUUUUUCCGGUUUCUCUUCCUAUUUAUGAAGAUGUUUUUAUUAAAGUGACAUUUGCCGCCGCUGACACUGCCGUUGUUGCCGCCGCCGCGGGCGAGGUUUCCUCCGUGUGUAUUUAAUGCUCAGUUGUUCUUCCUGUCAGUGAUCUCUGUAUAUUUGAUGUCUUGUAAUGAGGAACCAAAGAGUACAUUUUGAGAUUUAAUCCAUUUUAUUUUUUGGGUAGUUGUAAUUUUUCUCAUUUUAUCUUUUCGGAUUAAAUAAAAAAAAAAAACCUUAGUA
Molecule: long non-coding RNA, 4801 nt
Organism: Hyla sarda
Lineage: Eukaryota; Metazoa; Chordata; Amphibia; Anura; Hylidae
Exons: 2
Source: RefSeq, a predicted model, not a curated record